Molecule: ribosomal RNA, 432 nt
Filed under: Clostridium haemolyticum NCTC 9693
Lineage: Bacteria; Bacillati; Bacillota; Clostridia; Eubacteriales; Clostridiaceae
Description: bacterial SSU rRNA
Rfam family: Bacterial small subunit ribosomal RNA
Source: RNAcentral
UUUAAAUUGAGAGUUUGAUCCUGGCUCAGGACGAACGCUGGCGGCGUGCCUAACACAUGCAAGUCGAGCGAUGAAACUUCCUUCGGGAAGUGGAUUAGCGGCGGACGGGUGAGUAACACGUGGGUAACCUGCCUCAAAGAGGGGGAUAGCCUCCCGAAAGGGAGAUUAAUACCGCAUAACAUUAUUUUAUGGCAUCAUAGAAUAAUCAAAGGAGUAAUCCGCUUUGAGAUGGACCCGCGGCGCAUUAGCUAGUUGGUGAGGUAAGGGCUCACCAAGGCGACGAUGCGUAGCCGACCUGAGAGGGUGAUCGGCCACAUUGGAACUGAGACACGGUCCAGACUCCUACGGGAGGCAGCAGUGGGGAAUAUUGCGCAAUGGGGGAAACCCUGACGCAGCAACGCCGCGUGAGUGAUGAAGGUUUUCGGAUCGUAA